This 119-nucleotide ribosomal RNA is filed under the name Alligator mississippiensis (American alligator). Lineage: Eukaryota; Metazoa; Chordata; Crocodylia; Alligatoridae. The record is from RNAcentral.
GCUUACAGCUAUGCUAGAUUGAAUACAUCCAAUUUUGCCUGAUUUUGGAGGCUAACCAGUCCAUGUCCUGGCUGGUACUGGGAUGGUAGAAUGCUUGGGAAUCCUGGGUGCUAGAGGUA